This 449-nucleotide ribosomal RNA is filed under the name Enterococcus casseliflavus. Its description in RNAcentral is "bacterial SSU rRNA". It matches the Rfam family "Bacterial small subunit ribosomal RNA", at positions 28 to 457 of the family's 1533-position model. Lineage: Bacteria; Bacillati; Bacillota; Bacilli; Lactobacillales; Enterococcaceae. The record is from RNAcentral.
GACGAACGCUGGCGGCGUGCCUAAUACAUGCAAGUCGAACGCUUUUUCUUUCACCGGAGCUUGCUCCACCGAAAGAAAAAGAGUGGCGAACGGGUGAGUAACACGUGGGUAACCUGCCCAUCAAAAGGGGAUAACACUUGGAAACAGGUGCUAAUACCGUAUAACACUAUUUUCCGCAUGGAAGAAAGUUGAAAGGCGCUUUUGCGUCACUGAUGGAUGGACCCGCGGUGCAUUAGCUAGUUGGUGAGGUAACGGCUCACCAAGGCAACGAUGCAUAGCCGACCUGAGAGGGUGAUCGGCCACACUGGGACUGAGACACGGCCCAGACUCCUACGGGAGGCAGCAGUAGGGAAUCUUCGGCAAUGGACGAAAGUCUGACCGAGCAACGCCGCGUGAGUGAAGAAGGUUUUCGGAUCGUAAAACUCUGUUGUUAGAGAAGAAACAAGGAU